This 503-nucleotide ribosomal RNA is filed under the name uncultured bacterium. RNAcentral describes it as "partial 16S ribosomal RNA". It matches the Rfam family "Bacterial small subunit ribosomal RNA", at positions 30 to 523 of the family's 1533-position model. The record is from RNAcentral.
AUUGAACGCUGGCGGCAGGCUUAACACAUGCAAGUCGAGCGGGGUGAUGGUGCUUGCACUAUCACUUAGCGGCGGACGGGUGAGUAAUGCUUAGGAAUCUGCCUAUUAGUGGGGGACAACAUCUCGAAAGGGAUGCUAAUACCGCAUACGUCCUACGGGAGAAAGCAGGGGAUCACUUGUGACCUUGCGCUAAUAGAUGAGCCUAAGUCGGAUUAGCUAGUUGGUGGGGUAAAGGCCUACCAAGGCGACGAUCUGUAGCGGGUCUGAGAGGAUGAUCCGCCACACGGGGACUGAAGCACGGCCCAGACUCCUACGGGAGGCAGCAGUGGGGAAUAUUGGACAAUGGGGGGAACCCUGAUCCAGCCAUGCCGCGUGUGUGAAGAAGGCCUUAUGGUUGUAAAGCACUUUAAGCGAGGAGGAGGCUCUUUUGGUUAAUACCCAAGAUGAGUGGACGUUACUCGCAGAAUAAGCACCGGCUAACUCUGUGCCAGCCGCCGCCGUAA